GACAGAGGGGGCAAGCGUUGCUCGGAAUCACUGGGCGUAAAGGGCGCGUAGGCGGGAUGGCAAGUCAGUCGUGAAAUCUCUCGGCUCAACCGAGAAACGUCGGCUGAUACUGCCGUUCUUGAGGGAUGCAGAGGAGACUGGAAUUCCCGGUGUAGCGGUGAAAUGUGUAGAGAUCGGGAGGAACACCGGUGGCGAAGGCAGCCCCCUGGGAUAACACUGACGCUCAUGCACGAAAGCGUGGGGAGCAAACAGG
RNAcentral lists this ribosomal RNA (253 nucleotides) under uncultured bacterium. Its description in RNAcentral is "partial 16S ribosomal RNA". It matches the Rfam family "Bacterial small subunit ribosomal RNA", at positions 524 to 776 of the family's 1533-position model. The record is from RNAcentral.